Molecule: microRNA precursor, 92 nt
Organism: Tursiops truncatus (common bottlenose dolphin)
Lineage: Eukaryota; Metazoa; Chordata; Mammalia; Artiodactyla; Delphinidae
Source: Ensembl
UGUACCACCUUGUCGGGUAGCUUAUCAGACUGAUGUUGACUGUUGAAUCUCAUGGCAACAGCAGUCGAUGGGCUGUCUGACAUUUUGGUAUC